CCAAAUUAUGUGUUUCUUUCACAAAUGAACGUCGAAUUUGGUUAUGAAGUUUUUAUGUCUUCAACUCUUUUGUUGGAUAUCGAUUCGGAGGAGAGUGAAAGUAUAAUAAGGUACCAACAGAAGGGUCUUAGAGCUCAAGCUAUGAGUACUAUCACUCAUGGAAAGUCUGUUGCUAGCAUAGAGAAUUCAAAGAACAACCCUGAUCAUCUCCUUGUUCUUUGUUAGAGAUGUAAUAUCAAACCAUUCACGUGUCUUCACCUACCAACUUAAACUAUUGGAAUAGUUGGUUCAUGAUAUGGAUGUAUGAUGUUCUCAAGGCACAAGAUGUUGACACGUUGCCCGGUAUCUGUGGCUAGUCUUUGCAAUAUGAGUGUCAAAAGCAAAUAACACCGUUGAAGGAAAAGGUUGGCUGGUCCUGGAUGUAAAGGAGUGGAUACAGCAAUCAGACAGUGUUCUGAUUUUAGAGUGACAAAAAUCUGUGCUUUGUGAACAUCUUGCCAGAAAUGAGUGACCCCAAGUAUGCCUAUCCUUACCCUGCUCAAGGGUAUUAUCAAGGUCCUCCUGUGAUGGCACCACCACAAUAUGCUGCUCCACCGCCCAGAAGAGAUACUGGAUUCCUCGAGGGAUGAGUCGCAGCAUGUUAGCAUAAGAUGAAAGCCUGUAUCCAGAAAUGCAUGUGGUAGUGGUCGAAAGUUGUAUCUGCAUCACUUGAUCCAUGCCCCUGAAGCAGCUAGGAUUAGGGAGAAAUACACAGACCAAAUCUCGAAUGUGGAGUAAGGCUAGUGUGCGCCGGAUAUGCUGUGUAUGGUGUCGACUAUGAAGGGCAUGGACACUCUGAAGGUGCCCGAUCUUACAUAAAAAAGUUUGAUAACAUUAUUAACGAUUGUUAUGACUUUUUCAAGUUAGUCAGUGGUAGGGAUUCAAAUUAUUGACUUUAUUUGCAUUAUUCUCAAUGUUGAAACUUUUAUACUGGCUGAGAAGAAUAUAGCUUCAUCCAUAAAACAGAUCAGUUGAGAAUAGAUCAUCAAAUUCAUCCCCUCCUUCCACAUCGGUCUUCUGGGUAUGCCACUCCUCUUCACUAAUAUCAUGCUAGCAGUAGCUUAGUUGUAUAGUGUCAUAGGUGAGGUAUUUCUCGGUUUGUUUAAUGCCUCUAUAUAUAGUUCAAAGAAGAUUAAUUCAUUUUAUGCUGGACCUGAAGUAAAUGUAUGGAGCUGGAGCUGUGGUGUAAUUUUAUACGCUCUUCUCUGUGGCACUCUUCCUUUUGAAGAUGAAAACAUUCCCAACCACUUCAAGAAAAUCAAGGGUGGGAUAUACAACAAAUGCACUAACUGCAUGCUGCACUAAAAAGAAAGCAUGUGUUCGUGUGAAUGCACGACGUCCUUUGCUCUAAUCAGCAAGUGGAUUUGACAUAUAUUGUGGAUAGUGUCAAACAACUUUAUGUUCAGUGGAAGAGACAAUUUCCUAUAAAUAUUAACUAAUUUCUUGAAUUUAAUAGCAAUUCAAAAAAUAAAACAAUUGAUUAGCACCUCGUGGUGCGUGCCUUUAUCAUUCUAUAGAC
Molecule: long non-coding RNA, 1558 nt
Organism: Gastrolobium bilobum
Lineage: Eukaryota; Viridiplantae; Streptophyta; Magnoliopsida; Fabales; Fabaceae
Exons: 9
Source: RefSeq, a predicted model, not a curated record